UCGAGAAUCUUCGGCAAUGGACGCAAGUCUGACCGAGCGACGCCGCGUGCGGGAUGAAGGCCUUCGGGUUGUAAACCGCUGUCAGUAGGGAGGAAAUGCAUGGGGGUCAUCCUUCAUGUUUGACCGAUCUGCAGAGGAAGUACGGGCUAAGUUCGUGCCAGCAGCCGCGGUAACACGAACCGUACGAACGUUAUUCGGAAUCACUGGGCUUAAAGAGUGCGUAGGCGGCCUGGAAGGUUGGAUGUGAAAUCCCUCGGCCCAACCGAGGAACUGCGUUCAAAACCGUCAGGCUUGAGGGAGGCAGAGGUGAGCGGAACUGAUGGUGGAGCGGUGAAAUGCGUUGAUAUCAUCAGGAACACCGGUGGCGAAGGCGGCUCACUGGGCCUCUUCUGACGCUGAGGCACGAAAGCUAGGGGAGCGAACGGGAUUAGAUACCCCCGUAGUCC
This 446-nucleotide ribosomal RNA is filed under the name uncultured prokaryote. RNAcentral describes it as "bacterial SSU rRNA". It matches the Rfam family "Bacterial small subunit ribosomal RNA", at positions 355 to 796 of the family's 1533-position model. The record is from RNAcentral.